This 497-nucleotide ribosomal RNA is filed under the name uncultured bacterium. RNAcentral describes it as "partial 16S ribosomal RNA". It matches the Rfam family "Bacterial small subunit ribosomal RNA", at positions 28 to 507 of the family's 1533-position model. The record is from RNAcentral.
GACGAACGCUGGCGGCGUGCCUAAUACAUGCAAGUCGAGCGGACAGACGGGAGCUUGCUCCCUGAUGUUAGCGGCGGACGGGUGAGUAACACGUGGGUAACCUGCCUGUAAGACUGGGAUAACUCCGGGAAACCGGGGCUAAUACCGGAUGGUUGUCUGAACCGCAUGGUUCAGACAUAAAAGGUGGCUUCGGCUACCACUUACAGAUGGACCCGCGGCGCAUUAGCUAGUUGGUGAGGUAACGGCUCACCAAGGCAACGAUGCGUAGCCGACCUGAGAGGGUGAUAGGCCACACUGGGACUGAGACACGGCCCAGACUCCUACGGGAGGCAGCAGUAGGGAAUCUUCCGCAAUGGACGAAAGUCUGACGGAGCAACGCCGCGUGAGUGAUGAAGGUUUUCGGAUCGUAAAGCUCUGUUGUUAGGGAAGAACAAGUGCCGUUCAAAUAGGGCGGCACCUUGACGGUACCUAACCAGAAAGCCACGGCUAACUACGUG